RNAcentral lists this long non-coding RNA (891 nucleotides) under Gouania willdenowi (blunt-snouted clingfish). Its description in RNAcentral is "lncRNA (ENSGWIG00000009578.1)". The record is from RNAcentral. Lineage: Eukaryota; Metazoa; Chordata; Actinopteri; Blenniiformes; Gobiesocidae.
GUUAAUUUAGGUGAUUAAUCACAGCUGGCUUUUGUGUCUUGCGGGGCUUCUGAUGUCCCGGGCAACGUCUGGCACCUGGACCUUUUUAGAUUGUAAGGAUUUUAUAUUUAGUUUCUUUAUGACGGGCCACAGUGGGCGUAAUUCUCCCGUCACUCUCGUAAACAGGUAAGUAUGUUUAGGUUAUAGUUAGGUUGUUAAGAGUUUAGAGAUUAUGUUUUUAUUCCCAGCCUGUUAGAGACACAAGAGGCAUCAGCAGAGGAUGAAGACUUCUAUCAAUCAAAACUAUGUAAGUAAAGCUUCUCGUUUACACAGAAAGACACUGAUCACAUGUUUAAUGUAUAAAUAGACGUCAUGUUUUACUAACGCCUGUAAAAUGUCGGAGAGGAACGCCAACAUCCACUGAUGGAGGAGGAGAAGAAAGAUGGAGGACGGGAGCACCAGCAUCUACCAAUGGAGGAGAAUAAAUACUUUUAUUAACCAAAACAAUAAUCCACUGAUGGAGAACAAGGAAGAUGGAAGACUACCAUCAUCUACCAAUGGACGAGCAGGAGAAAAAUGGGGGAGCACCAGCAUCCAAGUGUCCCAUAAUCAGCCACAGGAGGAGAUAUCAGCAGGAGAGGAGAAGAAAGACUUCUGUCAAUCAACCAAAAACAAUGUAAGUAAAGCCUCUUGUUUGAACACACAUUUAAUAUAAAAAUAGAUGUUAAUUACUGUACUAGUGUCUGUAAAACGUCUUGUGUGUGAUUACAGAUUCACUUCAGAGGAGAAUCAGACUGUUCCAGAUGUUCAUCACCACAGCACAGAAUGAGACAGCAGUAGUAGUAGUAGUGUUUACUCUGACUGCUUUCAUUUCAACUAUAAAUAAAUAAAAAAUAAUAUCUUAAGAAAUCA